GAUGAACGCUAGCGGCAGGCUUAAUACAUGCAAGUUGAGGGGCAGCAUGAUAUACGCGAGUAUAUUGAUGGCGACCGGCGGACGGGUGAGUAAUAGGUAGGAGACCUACCUCAUACAGGGGGAUAGCAUAGAGAAAUCUGUGGUAAUACCCCAUGAGGUUAUAUGAAUAGAGGCAUAUAAUCAAAGCAUAAGCGAUUAUGCGGUAUGAGAGGGGCCUACUGACCAUUAGCUAGUUGGUGAGGUAAGGGCUCACCAAGGCGAAGAUGGUUAGGGGUUUUGAGAGAGAGACCCCCCACAUUGGAACUGAGAGACGGUCCAGACUCCUACGGGAGGCAGCAGUAGGGAAGUAUUGGGCGAAUGGGCGAAAGCCUGACCCAGCCAUGCCGCGUGAAGGAAGACGGCCUUAUGGGUUGUAAACUUCUUUACUACGCGAAUAGAGGUUAGUACGAGAUACUAAUAGGAAGGUAGUGUAGUAAAAAGACACCGGCUAACUCCGUGCC
This 500-nucleotide ribosomal RNA is filed under the name uncultured bacterium. RNAcentral's name for it is "bacterial SSU rRNA". It matches the Rfam family "Bacterial small subunit ribosomal RNA", at positions 28 to 509 of the family's 1533-position model. The record is from RNAcentral.